UACGGAGGAUGCAAGCGUUAUCCGGAAUGAUUGGGCGUAAAGCGUCCGCAGGUGGCUGUGUAAGUCUGCUGUUAAAGAGUGAGGCUCAACCUCAUAAAGGCAGUGGAAACUACAUGGCUAGAGUGCGUUCGGGGCAGAGGGAAUUCCUGGUGUAGCGGUGAAGUGCGUAGAGAUCAGGAAGAACACCGGUGGCGAAAGCGCUCUGCUAGGCCGCAACUGACACUGAGGGACGAAAGCUAGGGGAGCGAAUGGG
RNAcentral lists this ribosomal RNA (253 nucleotides) under uncultured bacterium. Its description in RNAcentral is "partial 16S ribosomal RNA". It matches the Rfam family "Bacterial small subunit ribosomal RNA", at positions 524 to 776 of the family's 1533-position model. The record is from RNAcentral.